RNAcentral lists this ribosomal RNA (490 nucleotides) under uncultured bacterium. Its description in RNAcentral is "bacterial SSU rRNA". It matches the Rfam family "Bacterial small subunit ribosomal RNA", at positions 28 to 517 of the family's 1533-position model. The record is from RNAcentral.
GAUGAACGCUAGCGGCAGGCUUAACACAUGCAAGUCGAGGGGCAGCACGUCUUCGGAUGGUGGCGACCGGCGCACGGGUGCGUAACGCGUAUACAACCUACCAUAUAGAGGGGAAUAGCCCAGAGAAAUUUGGAUUAAUGCCCCAUAGUAUUAUUGAAUAGCAUUAUUUGAUGAUUAAACAUUUAUGGCUAUAAGAUGGGUAUGCGUUCUAUUAGCUAGAUGGUAAGGUAACGGCUUACCAUGGCAACGAUAGAUAGGGGUCCUGAGAGGGAGAUCCCCCACACUGGUACUGAGACACGGACCAGACUCCUACGGGAGGCAGCAGUGAGGAAUAUUGGACAAUGGGCGAGAGCCUGAUCCAGCCAUGCCGCGUGCAGGAAGACGGCCCUAUGGGUUGUAAACUGCUUUUAUACGGGAAGAAACACUCCUUCGUGAAGGAGCUUGACGGUACCGUAAGAAUAAGGAUCGGCUAACUCCGUGCCAGCAGCCG